Molecule: long non-coding RNA, 1074 nt
Filed under: Daphnia pulicaria
Lineage: Eukaryota; Metazoa; Arthropoda; Branchiopoda; Diplostraca; Daphniidae
Description: uncharacterized LOC124310729, transcript variant X2
Source: RNAcentral
UUUGCAUAAAAAUAGCAAGUGAGCUUUGUUCUCCGUACAGUUCUCAAGAGCAACUGCUAGGUUUUAGCGAACAAAAAUGUGCUUUUCAAGGUUUUGUAAGUAUCUUUAGACCAGUCCUUCAAAUACUGAUUUUUGAGAAGUGUCAUAACUGUCAUAUAGAUGGCGUGUUGAUUGUGUCAGUUUUAUGGUCUUGUGGAGUUUGCUGUCAAAAGUUAAGGAGGAAACGUGAAAGCAGUGAAAGGUUCGUGCAGCCUACCGUCAACUAUUUUGUUCAAAAUCAUUGUAUUCUAUUGAAUAUGCCAUCGAAAUGAUACAGGAUUCAUCAUAAAUAUUCACCGUUUGUAUUGGACUUGCUAGAUCACCAACUCCAGCAUGGACCAAUCUCUCAUUCCAUCUUGAGAGAACCUUGGAUAACUGAUUGGUGGUUUCAUCUUUCAUGUAUCAUAGACAGCAAAGCACAUUAUGAACAAAUUAUAAACAAGACUAAGAAAAGCCAUGCUGUCCAUUGAAGAAUAAGGACAAUGACUAUACAUUCAACAAGGUUCCUUGUUUGCUAACCCGUUGGCUGCUACCCUUGAAUCUCCCAUUUAACUUCUUUACACGGGUCUUCUAUAUUUGAGGUUAAUCCUUCCCCGCUAUUUAAUAGACUUCAUCCAUUGGUGAAAACUGACGAGAGAAUGCUGAAAUUCAAGACUCGUCAAUAAUUUAUGUAGAUGUAGAUAUAUUACAAGUGCAUAUCUGGGCUCCCUUCUUCAGUGGCCCCGUUUCCCUAAAUAACCACUAACCAACGCCCGCCGGUGGUCACUCACUCGCUGCGACAACCAGGAGGAAGGGAGAUGUUUGGUCGAACGGGGACUUGCAAGGCGCAUGAUUCGAUGAAAUCUGUUGGAGGGUCAUGAGUCUAAGCCGGAAGCCUACUAUGACACACUGCUCUCAUAAUAACUGCUCCUCAGCUCUCUUCGUUCUUUUUCCGGUUUCUCUUAACCAUGGCCGGGUAAUCUCCCUGGUCGAGUCAGUCGGGCAGUGUCUCCCCCUGCUCGACUGGCAGCAGUUUGUACCGGACGGUCUGUUUAA